This 235-nucleotide ribosomal RNA is filed under the name uncultured bacterium. RNAcentral's name for it is "partial 16S ribosomal RNA". It matches the Rfam family "Bacterial small subunit ribosomal RNA", at positions 355 to 606 of the family's 1533-position model. The record is from RNAcentral.
UGGGGAAUAUUGGACAAUGGGGGCAACCCUGAUCCAGCAAUGCCGCGUGUGUGAAGAAGGUUUUCGGAUUGUAAAGCACUUUUCGACGGGGACGAUGAUGACGGUACCCGUAGAAGAAGCCCCGGCUAACUUCGUGCCAGCAGCCGCGGUAAUACGAAGGGGGCUAGCGUUGCUCGGAAUGACUGGGCGUAAAGGGCGUGUAGGCGGUUUGUACAGUCAGAUGUGAAAUCCCCGG